GAGGCCAGGGCGGCCAGGGCCGUUGCCAGUUCUGCCCAGGCCCCUCGGGAGCCCAAGCCCGCGCCGCCCCCGGCGCCGGACCCCGCGCCCCCCCGGCAGCGCAGCACCAGCAGGAAGCGGACAGUCUCCCCCAGCCUGUGCGUUGUGCAUGAAGCCCACCACGUCAUCUAGACCCCAGCACAGGGCAUCUGCCAGCAGAACCAACGACUCAUCAAAGUACUCGGCCACCAAGACCAGAUCAAAGACAGAGUCCAGCCAGGCCAGACUCCACUGGAGCAAGGAUGACGAUCUCAAAUCUAAAGAGGCAGGGCUGGAUGUCUGGCCGUGACCACCGGCCACUGUGGGAGCAGGAUGGAAGACAGCUUUGGGAUCCAGAGGGUGGUGGGCUCGGGGCCCAGUGCCAGAAGGUAAAACAUUCAGCUGUGGGAGGUUGGGGUCUCUAGGUGCAUGAGGAUUCCCUCUCUCGGUCUUUAUCUCGGGGGGGAAGGGGAGUCCAAAGUCAAACCAGAGCAAGUUGCGGGCAUAGUGGUCCCCACGGGCCCCAGGUCGGUAGAAGGCUCGAGGAUUGGCCAGGAAGGCGGCCAAAGAUGGUGCCUUGCGGAAGGCCGAUGAAGUGGACUUAUAGUAGGAGAAAGCAGAGCGGGCCAGAGCUGCUGGGUCUCGGACAAUGGAAAAGAAGAAGCUGUCAGAAGGCAUGACCCGAAGGACCUGCAGAGGAAAGAAAAUAGGCUUAGAGAGAAAGAACUGGGCCAGGAGGAAACUAAGAGCAAGCCCAUUGCCAGGGGAUCCCCUAGAUGCCUCAAACCUCCUUCUCGAAACUUCUGGGCUCUGCCGGAAACCCCCAGCUUCCUACACAAACAUACUUGGGCCAGUUACUUAAUAUCUCUGAGACUCAAUUUGCUGAUCUGAAAAAUGGGGACAACCAUACCUUGCCACUGAUUAUGAAGGUACACGAGAUAAAGAGUAUGAAGGGACCUGGAACACGGGAAGCUACUUAAGAACAUUAAUUUCUUUGGGCCUCUAUGUAUGGCUUUGGUCACUAAAAUCUCUAAGAAUCAAA
Molecule: long non-coding RNA, 1060 nt
Organism: Mustela lutreola (European mink)
Lineage: Eukaryota; Metazoa; Chordata; Mammalia; Carnivora; Mustelidae
Exons: 2
Source: RefSeq, a predicted model, not a curated record